AUUGAACGCUGGCGGCAGGCCUAACACAUGCAAGUCGAACGGUAACAGGAAGCAGCUUGCUGAUUUGCUGACGAGUGGCGGACGGGUGAGUAAUGUCUGGGAAACUGCCCGAUGGAGGGGGAUACCUACUGGAAACGGUAGCUAAUACCGCAUAACGUCGUAAGAACAAAGAGGGGGACCUUAGGGCCUCUUGCCAUCGGAUGUGCCCAGAUGGGAUUAGCUAGUAGGUGGGGUAACGGCUCACCUAGGCGACGAUCCCUAGCUGGUCUGAGAGGAUGACGAGCCACACUGGAACUGAGACACGGUCCAGCCUCCUACGGGAGGCAGCAGUGGGGAAUAUUGCACAAUGGGCGCAAGCCUGAUGCAGCCAUGCCGCGUGUAUGAAGAAGGCUUUCGGGUUGUAAAGUACUUUCAGCGGGGAGGAAGGGAGUAAAGUUAAUACCUUCGCUCAUUGACGUUACCCGCAGAAGAAGCACCGGCUAACUCCGUG
This 490-nucleotide ribosomal RNA is filed under the name uncultured bacterium. Its description in RNAcentral is "partial 16S ribosomal RNA". It matches the Rfam family "Bacterial small subunit ribosomal RNA", at positions 30 to 507 of the family's 1533-position model. The record is from RNAcentral.